RNAcentral lists this ribosomal RNA (253 nucleotides) under uncultured bacterium. Its description in RNAcentral is "partial 16S ribosomal RNA". It matches the Rfam family "Bacterial small subunit ribosomal RNA", at positions 524 to 776 of the family's 1533-position model. The record is from RNAcentral.
UACGUAGGCAGCGAGCGUUGUUCGGAGUUACUGGGCGUAAAGAGUGCGUAGGCGGUUUUCUAAGUUUGGUGUGAAAUCUCCCGGCUUAACUGGGAGGGUGCGCCGAAGACUGGAAGGCUUGAGUAUGGGAGAGGUAAGCGGAAUUCCUGGUGUAGCGGUGAAAUGCGUAGAUAUCAGAAGGAACACCUGCGGUGUAGACGGCUUACUGGACCAUAACUGACGCUGAGGCACGAAAGCGUGGGUAGCAAACAGG